AGCCCUCGUGAGUGGCAUUAGGCUUGACUGACUUACAAAAAAUCUUAACCAACUGUGUUCAGCCCUUUUCCCUUUCUGCCCUCUGCCAUGUGAGGUCACAGUGUUCCUCCCUCCUGAGGAUGCAGUGUUCAUGAAAGCAAACACUGGGCCCUCACCAGGCAACAAACCUGCUGGUGCCUUCAUCUUGGACUUCCCAGCCUUCGGAACUAUGGAGCCCGCACUCUCCAGUUCAUCACCACCCCAGCAUCCCUACUCUUGCAUCUAACAGUUUCCGCUAUUUUGCACCACCUGCCUGGCCCUUAUGGGCAACUCAAGGAAGAAAGGAAAGAAGAGAUAGAGGAAAAAUGGAUUCAACAAAUGAAAGUGUUCUUUCUGACUACUGCUGUGUUUACAAACAUUUUAAUCAUCAAAACAUGCUUUAUUUGAUAGAAAGAUCAAAUCUGCCUUUGUAAAACAAGAGACUAUUUUAAUCAUUAAGACAACACACAUGUUUGAUUUGGAGGCGUGUUCUCAUUCAAAACCUUGCAAAAUAUAAUUUCUUCUUGUCUGGGAGAUGGUGUCUUUCUUCGGGGAGAACCUUGAGAGAAAUGUCUAUGAAUGUGUCUGUAGAUUGAGGAUAGGCCAACAAACAUAUUUUGAAAUAUUUUUUCUUUCUUUUAAAAAAAUAGAUACUUUUAAAAGAAAAUGCUUAUUUAAAUUACAUAGCUCUUUUUUUCACUCUCAGUCAUCAUUUGUGGUUUCAGUCAGUACUACAUUUAUUCCCCAGAGCUAGGAUUGCUGUGUUUUUAGAAAGGGAGCCUGUUUGAAGGGACUCUAUACUCUUGCAGUAAUUAAAAUCCUUUUAGGAGUCGUUAAGAAGCUCCACUGCGCUUUGUCCAUUGCAAGUUGAGAAGUGAGGCCCCAGCUGUCACAUACAGCUCCAUCACAAGAGGGAGCCCCAUUGCUAGUCCCCAUCCUCAAAGCCUCUGCGUGAUGUUGUCUACUGUUACUCUUCACUACCCUGUGGGAGCCAAAGCCCUGGACAUAAGAACAGAAGGCAAGCAGUGGUGGCUGAGAGGAAGAACUGACACCUUUGUGCUAUCAGAGCACUUUGCAGAGGAGCUGUUAGUGGCCCUGUAGGAGUCUGCUGGCCAUACAUCUGGGUGUCAAAUCAAGAGAGCAUGAGAAGUUGGACAGGAAAGGUCCAAGGCAAAAUGGUUACUAAAGGCCAUCCCUGAUCCUGACCCUAAAAGAAGAAAAGGCCCUUUGCUCUUGGCAUGCUUUUGCAGGAGUGUCUCAGUCUGUUUGGGCUGCUAUAACAUUGACUGGGUGAUCUGCCUGCCUGGCCUCCCAAAGUGCUGGGGUUACAGGUGUGAGCCGCUGCACCAGGCCUUGAGGUCAGGAGUUCGAGACCAGCCUGGCCAACAUGGUGAAACCUGUCUUUACUAAAAAUACAGAAAUUAGCCAGGCAUGGAGGCGCAUGCCUGUAAUCCCAGCUACUGGGGAGGCUGAGGCAGGAGAAUCGCUUGAACCCAGAAGGUGGAGGUUGCGGUGAGCCCAGAUAGUGCCAUUGCACUCUAGCCUGGCCAACAAGAGUGAAACUCUGUCUCAAAAAAUAAAUAAACAAACAAACAAACAACAAC
RNAcentral lists this long non-coding RNA (1622 nucleotides) under Homo sapiens (human). RNAcentral's name for it is "HSALNT0046425". Lineage: Eukaryota; Metazoa; Chordata; Mammalia; Primates; Hominidae. The record is from RNAcentral.